Molecule: unclassified non-coding RNA, 411 nt
Filed under: Hevea brasiliensis (rubber tree)
Lineage: Eukaryota; Viridiplantae; Streptophyta; Magnoliopsida; Malpighiales; Euphorbiaceae
Source: RNAcentral
AGAAGAUCAAUGACCUUUGUGGUAAUGCUUUUUAAAUUAUUAUUAUUAUUUUUUAAAUUUAAUUUGUUUAACUUUGGGUUGUUGACGAGAGAACAAAAUCCCUAGUUAUUCAAGCUCUAUGGGUUUUGGUAAUGUGGAAUUCUUUUUAUUUGGUGGAAUUAUCCGAUUUAUAAACUAACUUAGCUUCAUAUAUAUUUAGCGUUGGAUCUGAGACUCUCUAGGUCUCAAGUUUACCGUUGAAUGGUAUGAGUUUAAUUUUGUUCUUGUUGAUUGCUCUAGCAAUUAGGGAGACAGCAAUGCUUUAUUUAUUUAUUACUUUUGGGCUUUUUUUUUAUUUUUUUGGUGCUGGGGAUAACUUGGUUUAAACACUUAAUGUUGGCCUCUGUUUGCCAAUAGGUAUCAAGGAAUCUG